GAGUUUGAUCCUGGCUCAGGAUGAACGCUAGCGGGAGGCUUAACAUAUGCAAGUCGAGGGGCAGCACGGGAUAGCAAUAUUCUGGUGGCGACCGGCGCACGGGUGAGUAACACGUAUGCAACCUACCUCGUACAGGGGGAUAACCCGGAGAAAUUCGGACUAAUAUCCCAUAAUGAUAUUGAGAGGCAUCUUUUAAUAUUUAAAGCUCAGGCGGUACGGGAUGGGCAUGCGGAACAUUAGCUAGUUGGCAGGGUAACGGCCUACCAAGGCUGCGAUGUUUAGGGGACCUGAGAGGGUUAUCCCCCACACUGGUACUGAGACACGGACCAGACUCCUACGGGAGGCAGCAGUGAGGAAUAUUGGUCAAUGGGCGCAAGCCUGAACCAGCCAUCCCGCGUGAAGGAAGAAGGCGCUAUGCGUUGUAAACUUCUUUUCCAGGGGGAGAAUUUUUCCGUCGUGACGGGAAUUGACGGUACUCUGGGAAUAAGCAUCGGCUAACUCCGUGCCAGCAGCCGCGGUAAUACGGAGGAUGCGAGCGUUAUCCGGAUUUAUUGGGUUUAAAGGGUGCGUAGGCGGAUAGAUAAGUCAGUGGUGAAAUUCUGCAGCUUAACUGUAGACUUGCCGUUGAUACUGUCAGUCUUGAGUAUGGUCAAGGCAGGCGGAAUGUGUAAUGUAGCGGUGAAAUGCUUAGAUAUUACACAGAACACCGAUUGCGAAGGCAGCUUGCUGGGCCAUUACUGACGCUGAUGCACGAAAGCGUGGGGAUCGAACAGGAUUAGAUACCCUGGUAGUCCACGCCGUAAACGAUGAUCACUCGCUGUUGGCGAUACACAGUCAGCGGCUAAGCAAAAGCAUUAAGUGAUCCACCUGGGGAGUACGGCC
RNAcentral lists this ribosomal RNA (882 nucleotides) under uncultured bacterium. Its description in RNAcentral is "bacterial SSU rRNA". It matches the Rfam family "Bacterial small subunit ribosomal RNA", at positions 9 to 887 of the family's 1533-position model. The record is from RNAcentral.